GAAGGAAAUUAAGUACGGAAGUUCCUGAUUUCACGCUGUCAAGAAAAGCCUCUAGGAAGAGUAGUACUGCCCGUACCGCAAACCGACACAGGUAGAUGAGGAGAGAAUCCUAAGGUGAGCGAGAGAACUCUCGUUAAGGAACUCGGCAAAAUGACCCCGUAACUUCGGGAGAAGGGGUGCUCUAUUAGGGUGCAAGCCCGAGAGAGCCGCAGUGAAUAGGCCCAGGCGACUGUUUAGCAAAAACACAGGUCUCUGCAAAACCGUAAGGUGACGUAUAGGGGCUGACGCCUGCCCGGUGCUGGAAGGUUAAGAGGAGUGCUUAGCUUCGGCGAAGGUACGAAUUGAAGCCCCAGUAAACGGCGGCCGUAACUAUAACGGUCCUAAGGUAGCGAAAUUCCUUGUCGGGUAAGUUCCGACCCGCACGAAAGGCGCAACGAUCUGGGCACUGUCUCAACGAGAGACUCGGUGAAAUUAUAGUACCUGUGAAGAUGCAGGUUACCCGCGACAGGACGGAAAGACCCCGUGGAGCUUUACUGCAACCUGAUAUGGAAUGUUUGUACCGCUUGUACAGGAUAGGUAGGAGCCGAAGAG
RNAcentral lists this ribosomal RNA (591 nucleotides) under Listeria monocytogenes. RNAcentral describes it as "partial 23S ribosomal RNA". It matches the Rfam family "Bacterial large subunit ribosomal RNA", at positions 1570 to 2161 of the family's 2925-position model. Lineage: Bacteria; Bacillati; Bacillota; Bacilli; Caryophanales; Listeriaceae. The record is from RNAcentral.